This 495-nucleotide ribosomal RNA is filed under the name uncultured bacterium. Its description in RNAcentral is "partial 16S ribosomal RNA". It matches the Rfam family "Bacterial small subunit ribosomal RNA", at positions 28 to 507 of the family's 1533-position model. The record is from RNAcentral.
GACGAACGCUGGCGGCGUGCCUAAUACAUGCAAGUAGAACGCUGAAGGAGGAGCUUGCUCUUCUGGAUGAGUUGCGAACGGGUGAGUAACGCGUAGGUAACCUGCCUGGUAGCGGGGGAUAACUAUUGGAAACGAUAGCUAAUACCGCAUAACAGUAGAUGUUGCAUGACAUUUGCUUAAAAGGUGCAAUUGCACCACUACCAGAUGGACCUGCGUUGUAUUAGCUAGUUGGUGGGGUAACGGCUCACCAAGGCGACGAUACAUAGCCGACCUGAGAGGGUGAUCGGCCACACUGGGACUGAGACACGGCCCAGACUCCUACGGGAGGCAGCAGUAGGGAAUCUUCGGCAAUAGACGGAAGUCUGACCGAGCAACGCCGCGGGAGUGAAGAAGGUUUUCGGAUCGUAAAGCUCUGUUGUAAGAGAAGAACGAGUGUGAGAGUGGAAAGUUCACACUGUGACGGUAUCUGACCAGAAAGGGACGGCUAACUACGUG